UUAGUUUAAAUUGUUUGAAUAAAAUUUGGUCAUUUCUUUAACUGAUUACAUUCAUGUAUAAAUAUUAGAUUUAUGAAUGUGGUUGAGUAUUUAUCAAGGGGAUUACUUCAACUAAGAACUGUGGUUCGUGUCCACAGCUAGCGGUUUUAGAUGUGAAGAUACAAAGCGUAGUGAGGAAGAAAAAGAGAUUUAUGCAACCUAGAA
RNAcentral lists this unclassified non-coding RNA (204 nucleotides) under Hevea brasiliensis (rubber tree). Lineage: Eukaryota; Viridiplantae; Streptophyta; Magnoliopsida; Malpighiales; Euphorbiaceae. The record is from RNAcentral.